Molecule: ribosomal RNA, 315 nt
Filed under: uncultured eukaryote
Lineage: Eukaryota
Description: partial 18S ribosomal RNA
Rfam family: Eukaryotic small subunit ribosomal RNA
Source: RNAcentral
CCCUUAGACGUUCUGGGCCGCACGCGCGCUACACUGACCGGUGCAACAAGCAUCCGUCCUUGGCCGACAGGCCCGGGCAAUCUUUGAACGCCGGUCGUGAUGGGGAUAGACUUUUGCAAUUUUUGGUCUUCAACGAGGAAUUCCUAGUAAACGCAAGUCAUCAACUUGCAUUGAUUACGUCCCUGCCCUUUGUACACACCGCCCGUCGCACCUACCGAUUGAAUGGUCCGGUGAAGCCUCCGGAUUGGCGCGCACCUCGGUGCCGCCGAGAAGUUGGCUAAACCUUACCAUUUAGAGGAAGGAGAANUCGUANCA